GAUGAAGAACGCAGCGAAAUGCGAUAAGUAAUGUGAAUUGCAGAAUUCAGUGAAUCAUCGAAUCUUUGAACGCACAUUGCGCCCCUUGGUAUUCCGAGGGGCAUGCCUGUUCGAGCGUCAUUAUAACCCCUCAAGCUCAGCUUGGUGUUGGGGCCUGCUGCACUGGCAGCCCUUAAAAUCAGUGGCGGCGCCAUCUGGCUCUAAGCGUAGUAAUUCUUCUCGCUAUGGAGUCCUGGUGGAUGCUUGCCAUCAACCCCCAAUUUUUCUAUGGUUGACCUCGGAUCAGGCAGGGAUACCCGCUGAACUUAAGCAUAUCAAUAAGCGGAGGA
RNAcentral lists this unclassified non-coding RNA (329 nucleotides) under soil metagenome. RNAcentral's name for it is "partial contains 5.8S ribosomal RNA, internal transcribed spacer 2, and large subunit ribosomal RNA". The stretch from base 1 to 120 matches the Rfam family "5.8S ribosomal RNA", at positions 35 to 154 of the family's 154-position model. The record is from RNAcentral.